Non-coding RNA from Triticum urartu, 617 nucleotides. The record is from RefSeq and is a predicted model, not a curated record. NCBI's taxonomy places the organism in Eukaryota, Viridiplantae, Streptophyta, Magnoliopsida, Poales, Poaceae.
CAUUAAUCCUCCACAGGCUGGCAUUCUCGCUGUUGGUCGGGGUAACAAGGUUGUGGUGCCUGUGAUGGACAAUGACGGAACAGAGAAGGCUGCUGUAGUAACAAAGAUGAUGCUGACACUGUCUGCUGAUCAUCGUAUAUUUGAUGGGCAAGUAGGAGGCAAGUUUUUCACGGAGCUGGCAUUGAACUUCAGCGACAUCAGGAGGCUGCUUUUGUAAAUGAAAGGUGCUGUGUUAUCGUGUUUCCAAGAAUUCUUUGGAGAAGGUGGCCCAAGAAAAGACACUAGGUGCAAAUUUAGUUUCAGUUGCUUGAUCACCAGCGCAUAAGAAGUAACCAGUUUUGUAAAUUAAUAAGAGAGUUGGCAACUCCACGGCGUUUUUUCCUCCUUAAUUUGGGAGCUGAUCCCCGAGAAGUUACGGCCAUUUCAUGUUUGAUGUGGUUACACAAACAUCAACUAUUGAGGCUGAGGUUUGUUGCCACGUUUCCUGAGGAUUUCUGUCAACAUAAGACGUUUUUGCCCAUGACUUAGAUACAUGGCUUGAUGACAGUAAUAAGUAAUGAUUCCUUCUACAAUAUUGAUAUGCAUACUUCUGAGCAUCUCAGAUUGUUUGUCAGUUU